CAGCACCUCAAGUGGUCAGGAUGAUUAUUGGGCCUAAAGCAUCCGUAGCCGGCGCUGUAAGUUUUCGGUUAAAUCUGUACGCUCAACGUACAGGCUGCCGGGAAUACUGCAGCGCUAGGGAGUGGGAGAGGUAGACGGUACUCGGUAGGAAGGGGUAAAAUCCUUUGAUCUAUUGAUGACCACCUGUGGCGAAGGCGGUCUACCAGAACACGUCCGACGGUGAGGGAUGAAAGCUGGGGGAGCAAACCGGAUUAGAUACCCGAGUAGUCC
RNAcentral lists this ribosomal RNA (270 nucleotides) under uncultured archaeon. Its description in RNAcentral is "partial 16S ribosomal RNA". It matches the Rfam family "Archaeal small subunit ribosomal RNA", at positions 477 to 747 of the family's 1478-position model. The record is from RNAcentral.